Molecule: ribosomal RNA, 264 nt
Filed under: uncultured bacterium
Lineage: Bacteria
Description: partial 16S ribosomal RNA
Rfam family: Bacterial small subunit ribosomal RNA
Source: RNAcentral
GUCCACGCCCUAAACGAUGUCAACUGGCUGUUGGGUGCGAGAGUACUCAGUAGCGAAGCUAACGCGUGAAGUUGACCGCCUGGGGAGUACGGCCGCAAGGUUGAAACUCAAAGGAAUUGACGGGGGCCCGCACAAGCGGUGGAUGAUGUGGAUUAAUUCGAUGCAACGCGAAGAACCUUACCUGCUCUUGACAUGUCAGGAACUUUCCAGAGAUGGAUUGGUGCCCGAAAGGGAACCUGAACACAGGUGCUGCAUGGCUGUCGU